GGGACGCCAUGCCUCCGAGAAAAGCCUCUAGGGAGAGUGCACGUGCCCGUACCAAAACCGACACAGGUGGGCAAGUAGAGAAUACUAAGGUGAUCGAGAUAACCAUCGUUAAGGAACUCGGCAAAAUCGCUCCGUAACUUCGGGAUAAGGAGCGCCCCAGUAAGGUGAAGCACCUCGCGUGCGGAGCCUGAGAGGGCCGCAGUGAAUAGGUUCAACCGACUGUUUACCAAAAACACAGGGCUCUGCUAAGUCGUAAGACGACGUAUAGGGUCUGACGCCUGCCCGGUGCCGGAAGGUUACGUGGAGGUGUUAGGGGUAACCCGAAGCACUGAAACUAAGCCCCGCUAAACGGCGGCGGUAACAAUAACCGUCCUAAGGUAGCGAAAUUCCUUGUCGGGUAAGUUCCGACCUGCACGAAUGGCGUAACGAGUUGAACGCUGUCUCAACGAUGGGCUCGGUGAAAUUGCAGUCUCGGUGAAGAUGCCGAGUACCCGUGGCUAGACGGAAAGACCCCGUGAACCUUUACUACAACCUGGUAUUGGAGUGCGGUGCAUCUCGCUCAGGAUAGGAGGGAGUCUUUGAAGCGCCGGCUGCGGCUGGCGUAGAGACAACCUUGAGAUACCUCCCUUGAUGUAUUGUGCUUCUAACACUGCGCCGUAAUCCGGGCAGUGAACAGUGCCAGGCGGGUAGUUUGACUGGGGCGGUCGCCUCCCAAAAUGUAACGGAGGCGCGCAAAGGUUCCCUCAGCACGGUUGGAAAUCGUGCGUAGAGUGCAAAAGCAGUAAGGGAGCUUGACUGUGAGACCGACAGGUCGAGCAGGUGCGAAAGCAGGCUUUAGUGAUCCGGCAGUAGCAAGUGGAAGUGCUGUCGCUCAACGGAUAAAAGGUACUCCGGGGAUAACAGGCUUAUCGAGUCCAAGAGUCCACAUCGACGACUCGGUUUGGCACCUCGAUGUCGGCUCGUCGCAUCCUGGGGCUGAAGUAGGUCCCAAGGGUUGGGCUGUUCGCCCAUUAAAGCGGUACGCGAGCUGGGUUCAGAACGUCGUGAGACAGUUCGGUCCCUAUCUGGGCGUUGGAGAAUUGAAAGGAUUCGUCCCUAGUACGAGAGGACCGGGAUGAACGCACCUCUGGUGUAUCUGUUGUCCUGCCAAGGGCAUCGCAGGUUAGCUACGUGCGGACCGGAUAACCGCUGAAGGCAUCUAAGCGGGAAGCCGACCUUGAGAUGAGUUCUCCCACCUCCUUGAGAGGGUAAGAUCCCUGGUAGACCACCAGGUUGAUAGGCCGGAUCUGGAAGAGCGGUAACGCUCGUAGGAGACCGGUACUAAUGGAUCGAGGGCUUGACGGA
RNAcentral lists this ribosomal RNA (1344 nucleotides) under metagenome. RNAcentral's name for it is "bacterial LSU rRNA". It matches the Rfam family "Bacterial large subunit ribosomal RNA", at positions 1594 to 2925 of the family's 2925-position model. The record is from RNAcentral.